UUAAAUGAAACCAAAUAGAGGUAUAUUAUUGUUAAUAAUAAAAUUGAAUAAAAAUUCCAUUUAAA
RNAcentral lists this transfer RNA (65 nucleotides) under Luciola sp. FM20. RNAcentral describes it as "tRNA-Asn". The record is from RNAcentral. Lineage: Eukaryota; Metazoa; Arthropoda; Insecta; Coleoptera; Lampyridae.